ACGAACGCUGGCGGCGUGCCUAAUACAUGCAAGUAGAACGCUGAAGAGAGGAGCUUGCUCUUCUUGGAUGAGUUGCGAACGGGUGAGUAACGCGUAGGUAACCUGCCUUGUAGCGGGGGAUAACUAUUGGAAACGAUAGCUAAUACCGCAUAACAAUGGAUGACCCAUGUCAUUUAUUUGAAAGGGGCAAAUGCUCCACUACAAGAUGGACCUGCGUUGUAUUAGCUAGUAGGUGAGGUAACGGCUCACCUAGGCGACGAUACAUAGCCGACCUGAGAGGGUGAUCGGCCACACUGGGACGGAGACACGGCCCAGACUCCUACGGGAGGCAGCAGUAGGGAAUCUGCGGCAAUGGGGGCAACCCUGACCGAGCAACGCCGCGUGAGUGAAGAAGGUUUUCGGAUCGUAAAGCUCUGUUGUAAGUCAAGAACGAGUGUGAGAGUGGAAAGUUCACACUGUGACGGUAGCUUACCAGAAAGGGACGGCUAACUACGUG
RNAcentral lists this ribosomal RNA (496 nucleotides) under uncultured bacterium. RNAcentral's name for it is "partial 16S ribosomal RNA". It matches the Rfam family "Bacterial small subunit ribosomal RNA", at positions 29 to 507 of the family's 1533-position model. The record is from RNAcentral.